AAGUAUUGCGAGAUCUCGCAAUACUUUUUUGCGAGAUCUCGCAAAGUUCUGUCCUACUUCGGUGAACCGGAAGUAAAACAGACACACAUGAUGGAGGAGCGUACACAUCAUAGACAUAAUAAAAGGGUAGACCCCGCUGGGGGUGCUGCGCAGCGAGAAAUGCGGCCGCCAUCUUGGUCAGGUCAAGCUUCCCAUACGCUCCGGUCAAUCAUAUUCAUUCAUUCAUUCAUUCAGCGAUGCCGGAGCACUGUGCGGCGUAUUCCUGUGCCAACAGGCGGACAGCAGAGAACAGGGCUCAAGGAAUAACUUUUCACAGCUAUGAUUACACGUUUUUUCAACAUUACACUUGACUGUAGAGUCAUUUGUAGGCCAAAGAGGAAGACAGUGGUGCAGAGUGAGGCGGAUGACCGGACCAAGAUGGCGGCCGCAUUUCUCGACAGCGCCCAUUCGUGGUAGCGGCCGAUGCAGGGUCUAUCUUUUAUUAUGUCUAUGGUACACAUCAUCCGUGCUCUGUUGCUCCUUCUUCUUAUUAUUAUUAUUAUUUUAGGCUUAUUUUAGGCUAUUUUAGGCGUGUUUUACUUCCGGUUCACUGAAUGGAGAAAAAACUUUUGCGAGAUCUCGCAAAAAGUAUUGCGAGAUCCCGCAAUACGUUUUGCGAGAUCUCGCAAAAAGUAUUGCGAGAUCUCGCAAUACUUUUGCGAGAUCUCGCAAAAAAAAAAAGUCCAUCCAUGUCCCUUUAGGGGCUCCGUACUU
This 753-nucleotide long non-coding RNA is filed under the name Xyrichtys novacula (pearly razorfish). Lineage: Eukaryota; Metazoa; Chordata; Actinopteri; Labriformes; Labridae. The record is from RNAcentral.